UAUUCGGCCCCAAAUUCAACUUGCCUCUAAACGCUGCCAGGAAUAUUCAGUUGAAUUCCAAAUUCCAGAGCGAGCACAGCUCCUGGCUCAGUACAAAAUUGAUUAAAAGUGUAUAUUUUAUAAAAAUUUAUAUUUUUGGUUAGGUUUAAGCAUAAAGUGAAAAAGAUCUCUGAGGAAAAUAUGCAGUGGGAGCUGAGGAGCACCCGUUACAAAACCAAAACAUUUUUCUUAUAAAUAUAUAUUUUAUAAGAUGAGGUUUCAAAGACUCGGCACAUACCACCGAAACGUUGGAGCUCACAAAAUGUAUUAAGAAACAAUGACACACGGAUCAAUUAAGGCGGAAGAUGCAGGCGGCGUCCCCCUCCAAACUAAUUUGCGGCAAGGAUGUUAAAAAUCGGUAGAGGAACAAAGCACGAUGAACAAAGUGGCAGUAGCACAAAAACAACUUUCGCAAGCAUGAUAAAAAACGUGUUCUAUGAUUUAUUAAUAAUAACUUUUCCGUUUUAGAUGAUACUUAAGGAUGAGAAAACGGAAAUAGAACAAGUAAAAUAAUAGUAUUUCAACUUUAUUAUAAUAAAAAUACACUUACACUUAAAAA
Drosophila kikkawai is the source of this 598-nucleotide long non-coding RNA. RefSeq lists it as uncharacterized. The record is from RefSeq and is a predicted model, not a curated record. Lineage: Eukaryota; Metazoa; Arthropoda; Insecta; Diptera; Drosophilidae.